GCCUGAGUGGCUCAGUCGGUGGAGUGUCCGACUUCGGCUCAGGUCCUGAUCUCACAGAUCGUGGGUUCGAGCCCCGCGUCGGGCU
RNAcentral lists this transfer RNA (85 nucleotides) under Felis catus (domestic cat). It matches the Rfam family "tRNA". From Rfam's summary of the family: Transfer RNA (tRNA) molecules are approximately 80 nucleotides in length. Their secondary structure includes four short double-helical elements and three loops (D, anti-codon, and T loops). Further hydrogen bonds mediate the characteristic L-shaped molecular structure. tRNAs have two regions of fundamental functional importance: the anti-codon, which is responsible for specific mRNA codon recognition, and the 3' end, to which the tRNAs corresponding amino acid is attached (by aminoacyl-tRNA synthetases). tRNAs cope with the degeneracy of the genetic code in two manners: having more than one tRNA (with a specific anti-codon) for a particular amino acid; and 'wobble' base-pairing, i.e. permitting non-standard base-pairing at the 3rd anti-codon position. Lineage: Eukaryota; Metazoa; Chordata; Mammalia; Carnivora; Felidae. The record is from Rfam by way of RNAcentral.